Molecule: ribosomal RNA, 497 nt
Filed under: uncultured bacterium
Lineage: Bacteria
Description: partial 16S ribosomal RNA
Rfam family: Bacterial small subunit ribosomal RNA
Source: RNAcentral
GAUGAACGCUGGCGGCGUGCCUAAUACAUGCAAGUCGAGCGAACAGACGAGGAGCUUGCACCUCUGACGUUAGCGGCGGACGGGUGAGUAACACGUGGAUAACCUACCUAUAAGACUGGGAUAACUUCGGGAAACCGGAGCUAAUACCGGAUAAUAUCUUGAACCGCAUGGUUCAAUAGUGACAGACGGUUUUGCUGUCACUUAUAGAUGGAUCCGCGCCGCAUUAGCUAGUUGGGAAGGUAACGGCUUACCAAGGCAACGAUGCGUAGCCGACCUGAGAGGGUGAUCUGCCACACUGGAACUGAGACACGGUCCAGACUCCUACGGGAGGCAGCGGUGGGGAAUCUUCCGCAAUGGGCGAAAGCCUGACGUAGCAACGCCGCGUGAGUGAUGAAGGUCUUCGGAUCGUAAAACUCUGUUAUUAGGGAAGAACAAAUGUGUAAGUAACUAUGCACUUCUUGACGGUACCUAAUCAGAAAGCCACGGCUAACUACGUG